GAUGAAGAACGUAGCGAAAUGCGAUAAGUAAUGUGAAUUGCAGAAUUCAGUGAAUCAUCGAGUUUUUGAACGCAUAUUGCGCCCUCUGGUAUUCCGGGGGGCAUGCCUGUUCGAGCGUCAUUAAAUAACCCUCAAGCAUAGCUUGGUGUUGGGCUUUUUUACGUCCUUGACUGGGUUGGGCCUAAAAAUUAGUGGCGAUGGCUUUUUUACUUUCAAGCGUAGUAAAUCUCGUCUUGCUAAAGAGGAAAAAGAUUUUUUUUCUGCCAAAAAUUUUAACAUUUAAAGUUGACCUCGGAUCAGGUAGGAUUACCCGCUGAACUUAAGCAUAUCAAUAAGCGGAGGA
This 343-nucleotide unclassified non-coding RNA is filed under the name soil metagenome. Its description in RNAcentral is "partial contains 5.8S ribosomal RNA, internal transcribed spacer 2, and large subunit ribosomal RNA". The stretch from base 1 to 120 matches the Rfam family "5.8S ribosomal RNA", at positions 35 to 154 of the family's 154-position model. The record is from RNAcentral.